Molecule: transfer RNA, 71 nt
Filed under: Marmota monax (woodchuck)
Lineage: Eukaryota; Metazoa; Chordata; Mammalia; Rodentia; Sciuridae
Description: tRNA.Ala
Source: RNAcentral
GGGGUUGUGGCUCAGCGGUAGAGUGCUCACCUAGCAUAUGUGAGGCACUGGGUUCGAUACUCAGUACCACA